Non-coding RNA from Arachis ipaensis, 3517 nucleotides. The record is from RefSeq and is a predicted model, not a curated record. NCBI's taxonomy places the organism in Eukaryota, Viridiplantae, Streptophyta, Magnoliopsida, Fabales, Fabaceae.
CUUCUUUUUUUUUUUUUAUUUACUUUUAUAUGCUCUGUGGUUCGAAGCUUGUGUUUUUAAUUUUUGGUGAACGAUUACUUGCUUAUUGAUUAGCUUUGGUUCUGCUACGCUGCUGUUUUGGGUGUCACUGUUGUGAUUUUAUUAUUUUAAUUUACUGAUUAUGAUCAUUGAAUGUGUUGUGAUUAUUGAUUAGCUUUGGUUCUGUUAUGCUACUGUUUUGUGUGUCACUGUGUUGCUGAUUAUAAUACCUCAGUCAGUGCUCAGUGUUUGUUCUUGGUUGAUUGGCUUUGCUCACUGCUUGAUGAUAAAUUUUUUAUUUUGAUGACUCUGUUACUGGGUUUCUGCUUGAUGAUAAGUUGCAUUGCCUGUAUUAUUGAUUCACUGCUCAUUCUUGCUCUUCUAUUCCCAUAACUACAGUAAUUUAUCACUUUCACAAAAACUGUUUUCUAAAUAGAAAUUAUUCUAGACAAGAAGAAUGAUUUUUUGAAGAGCAAUAAUCAUAAGAAGCUGCUGAAGUGCUAACUAUUGCAUAUGUGAGAUAAGUUUCAUUGUGGCAAAAAUAUGGAGGUAAUUUGGAGGACAUAAAUAACUUUAGUGAAUUCUUAUUUGAUUUCUGAAGAUAUGUUGGAAUUAAUUCCAAUCUUUGACAAUAAAUCUAUAUAUGCUUAUAAAUACAUGGACCACAAUAAAUUAAAACUUUGUAAAGAUGAAUUAUGGCAUGAUGCUGAUCAAUAUGGAUUAUCUUGGUUUAAUGUUGCUGAAUCAAAAUUGUGUUGUUUUACUAAGAUUUUGAGGAUCACGCUCUAAUAAUUGACCUUGCAUAUUAGUAAACUGAGUUUUUAAUAGAAUUUAUAGGUGCUGAAAUUUGGGUUGGCAGGGUUAGAAAUUAGAAUUUACCUGUAACUUUGUUUUGUGUUUCGAGCUCUGUUCAAUAGCAAAGUAGACAAGUGUAGGGUCAAAAGAACCUAAGUUCAGAUUGUGGAUCUGUCACUGUGAUAUUCAGGAAAUGCAUAUGUAGGGAAGUAGUAGUUUUGUGUAUUUAAAAGAACUAUAUUUUAAGUUGAAAAUUAACUCCAAGUAAGUUUGUGCAUUAUAAUAUGAGUAAGUUUGUGUAUUUAUAAAUGACAACUUUAGGCACCAGUUUUAUAGAUUUCCUUGUUUUUUGCAAGUUUUUCAAAUUGUUUUAGAUAUAUAAGGAGAGAUGGUCGAUGACAUAGUUUCGAAGUCUGAAUCAAGACUUCAACUCUUGUCAUUUCCGUUCUAAGUUGGAGUAUAUUAUCAUUUAUCAAUAUCAACAAGCUUAACAAAGGUUAUGUUUUAGUAUAUUUAUUUAUUAUUUUAUUAUAAAACAGUUAUUUCGGUUGAACUACGAUUGAAUCGGUUGAACCAAUAAACCAGUAACUAGAGUGGUUCGAUGACCGGUCCGGUUUUCAGAACCUUGGUUUAAAGAAUUAUUACCUAUUCUUAUUCCUAAACACACUAAGUGUUCAUACUCUCCCAAAAACCCUCUCACAACUGACAAGCCAUUGCGUGUUCAUACUCUUCCAAUCGAUGCUCACAAUCGCUGUUUCCUUUGAAAUCAAGAAUGAAAAAACUAUUCUCCAUCACAAUCUCUUCCUCUCUAUUUCUCUGGAUCGUGAUUUAUUCUCCUUCGAACCUUUCUCAGUCAAUCUAAUUCCAGGGUUUGAUUAUUCUCAAUUUUGAUUGUUUCUUUUUCGUUUCAUGCUUGUUCCAAUUUCGUUUUAAUUUUGUUCCAAAAUAUUGCCUGCACAAGAAGAGUAGCAUUAUUCAAUCUGAUCGUAGUGUGCGUGAGUGAUUGAAUCGAAACUGCAAUGAGAAGGGGGAAACUCAAGAGCAAGCCCACCGGUUGCCACCAGUUCUCCACGCCGGAAGAUCUCUGUUGUGUCACUAAGCUAUGGGAUUCUCAUCUAUGAUGAUCUAUGUCAGCUAAGGUUCACACUUUUUUUUUUGGCAUACAUUAGAAAAUAAUGGCUAAAAAGGGACAGCACCUAUUUGCUCAAAUAUAUAGCAGUUGUUAUGAGGUCUACUACUACAAUGUAAGUUUAUUUUAUAAAGAGUAGUAUUAAUUGAAACAAUAUUGACUCACAUCUUUCCAAUCUUGUAAACUAGAUUUCCAUUCUCUUCUUUCUUGUUUUCUUCAAUUUGGGAGUUUAGGUCCUUUCGAGUAAGCAAGUUGAUUCUGCUGUUAUUUAUUACUGGAAAUUGAAACAAUUUUGACACAUCUUUCACCUACGGCACUAUUUUGACCUACUGAAACCUAAAACAAGCAAUUCAAUUCUUAUGUUCUUUUUUGGACAUUUUAGAUCAUGUUUUUUUCUAAUUAAUGCUGAUUUUACAUUAAAUCCUGCAUCGGACUGAUAUAUAUAAUUCAGCUUAUAGAAAUCCAGGUCUUCAAAACCAUACAUGCUUGAGACUAAUGUAUGAAUGUUCAUUUGAUUUCUAGUUCCGAUGAAGACAGUGUAGUGGUGAGUAAUGAGUUGUCAGAAAAAAGAGAAAGCCACUCUUUAGGUAUCACUCCUGGCUGACUAUUGUUUGAGAAUCAGUUGGUAUUUGCUGAGUUUAGAUUGUUUCAAAUAUGUGUAAGUAAUAUUCAUGUGACAAAUCUUUUUAUUGCUUAACUGUUAAUUGUAAAGUCGAGCCACUUUUCUCAUUUAUUUUCAAAUUAUGAUGGUGCUAUUUCAAUGUUUUUGGAGUUUCAUUAGAUAUACUGUUCUGUCUCAAGAUUUAUAUACUCUUGUUUUCUGAUAUUCAAGUUUUGCAGUCAAUCAUGCUGGAGUCUUAUUUUUCAUUACCAUUUAAUGUAUUUUUCUAUGCUUAAUUCAACUUUUUAUCUUGUGUAUAAAUAACCAUAUUGUCUCAAUGCUAUCUUUCAGAUGUUUUAAUUUUGAUUUCUAUAGACUUUUUUCAUGGGAUUUCUUAUUAAAUUUAGUAGGAGAAUGCUGUUGUGUGUUUUGUCAUAGAAUUCUCCUUAUAUAUUUGAACUAGUGGAAUUACUUGGUAACUGAAGGGCUAUCCUUAAUCUGAGAUGCUAUGCUAUCCUUUUGGAACAAGAUUUACAAAUUAAAAAAAUCCGCAGAGUAACUUUCUUCUAUUCAAAAUCUAUUUAUCCUUAGCUGUUUGGAACUUUUCUUAAUUAAGCAUGCAAAAAAAUAAGCAUGCAUUUCCUAAUUAAUUUCAUUUCAUUCUAAUUAAUUUCUUAAUUUAUAUAUUUCUUUUCUUAUUGUUUCGUUUUGCUAAUGUCAGGUUAUUUGAAGUUCAAAUAAUAACUGUCUCGUUUUAGUUGCUACUUGAGCUGGAUUUGGAGGUAUUGUCAUCUGGAAAUCAUUAGGAAUAAAUGUACCUAAGCAAGAAGUUUGCUUUGCUUUGCUGCUUAGACUUCGCUGUUCUAUGUUCUGAACUAGUAUUUAACUAUUUUUGGGAGUUUUGAGGUUGAUUAGGGGACAAUAUUCCGAGACAAUAUAAAUUAGUUACUUCUUUACAAUUCCUUUUUCAGCUU